This is a long non-coding RNA of Nasonia vitripennis (jewel wasp), 940 nucleotides long. RefSeq lists it as uncharacterized. The transcript is spliced from 3 exons. The record is from RefSeq and is a predicted model, not a curated record. Lineage: Eukaryota; Metazoa; Arthropoda; Insecta; Hymenoptera; Pteromalidae.
AAACUGCUGUUAAUGCUCUGCAGUAUUUCACUUUAUUUACCUCUUCAAGAUUCUAUAAAAAUUUAGUAAAUUAGUAUGUAAAAAAACAAAAUCAUAUAGGUUAAGAGAUACAUGGAUAAUGGAUAUUAAGACAUAGUCAAUACCAACCACACAAUCGACUUGGCUUUUAACAGUACAAUUAGCCGUGUAAGAUGAACCAUAGAUGCAAUUUUGAUUGAGAGUACAUGAUAGGCAUUCAACACUGAGCUCCGAACAUAAAGACCCAGGCUCACAUAGACUUAAAAUUUAAUUGAUCUUACUUUUCUGCUUCCAAAAGCUGGAGUUGAAUUGCUAGUGACUGCAUAGUUUAAUACGCUUUCUGCGAUAGUAGGUAAUUAUUAACCGUGUUGAUACAUACAAAUUAAAAUGGUUGUAUAUAAUUAUAAUUUUUCAAGUGGUUCAUUCAAAAUAAAAAUUGUAAGUAAUAAUGAAGACUAUAUUUUCACUUACCACCAUGGCCAGAACCAUGACCAGUAUAAACUUGUCGAAUAGUUGUUGACAAAAUUGCCAAAAUAAUAAAAGCUACAUUUUUUACGUUUAUUCGAAUGACAUGCAUACCGAAAGUAUAAUCUAAAUCAAAUACAUAAACAUUCUUAAAAUGUCGACUAACUACAGCUUAAACAAGUGCUAGCAGGCGAUAAGCUAUACGCCUAAACCUAUAACAAAAUUUUUGGUUAUAUUUACUAUUGGACAUGUAAAACAACGAAUAUAGACUUGUUAUAGAAGGACGGUCAGUCGGUCAGUAUUAUAUAUAUUGGCGCCGGGGUCCCAUUUUGAAAUACACGUAGAUAAACCUGUUUUACCGAUAAGGGAAAUACCGCGCUAAGUCGAGCUUAUCGUGCAUGCUUUUGAAAAUGUCUGUAUAAUACAGUAGCAGCAAAUAAAUAUCAAAGUGCAUUUA